This 256-nucleotide ribosomal RNA is filed under the name uncultured bacterium. RNAcentral's name for it is "partial 16S ribosomal RNA". It matches the Rfam family "Bacterial small subunit ribosomal RNA", at positions 521 to 776 of the family's 1533-position model. The record is from RNAcentral.
UAAGACGGAGGGGGCAAGCGUUGUCCGGAAUUACUGGGCGUAAAGCGCUCGUAGGCGGUCCUUUACGGCGAUGGUGAAAGCUCCCGGCUCAACUGGGAGAGGCCCGUCGCAACGGGGGGACUCGAGGGUGGUAGAGGCAGAUGGAAUUCCUGGUGUAGCGGUGAAAUGCGUAGAGAUCAGGAGGAACACCCAUGGCGAAGGCAGUCUGCUGGGCCACACCUGACGCUGAGGAGCGAAAGCCAGGGGAGCGAACGGG